This 254-nucleotide ribosomal RNA is filed under the name uncultured bacterium. Its description in RNAcentral is "partial small subunit ribosomal RNA". It matches the Rfam family "Bacterial small subunit ribosomal RNA", at positions 26 to 285 of the family's 1533-position model. The record is from RNAcentral.
AGGACGAACGCUGGCGGCGUGCUUAACACAUGCAAGUCGAGCGGAAAGGCCCUUCGGGGUACUCGAGCGGCGAACGGGUGAGUAACACGUGAGUAAUCUGCCCCUAGCUCUGGGAUAGCUCCGGGAAACCGGGAUUAAUACCGGAUACGACCACCUUAGACAUCUUUGUGGUGGAAAGAAUUUCGGCUAGGGAUGAGCUCGCGGCCUAUCAGCUUGUUGGUGGGGUAACGGCCUACCGAAGGCGACGACGGGUA